Molecule: ribosomal RNA, 367 nt
Filed under: uncultured bacterium
Lineage: Bacteria
Description: bacterial SSU rRNA
Rfam family: Bacterial small subunit ribosomal RNA
Source: RNAcentral
AACGAACGCUGGCGGCAGGCUUAACACAUGCAAGUCGAACGGUUGUAGCAAUACAGCAGUGGCAGACGGGUGAGUAACACGUGGGAACCUUCCUAGGGGUACGGAACAACUCAGGGAAACUUGAGCUAAUACCGUAUACGUCCGUGAGGAGAAAGAUUUAUCGCCCUUAGACGGGCCCGCGUAGGAUUAGGUAGUUGGUGGGGUAAUGGCCUACCAAGCCUACGAUCCUUAGCUGAUCUGAGAGGANGAUCAGCCACACUGGGACUGAGACACGGCCCAGACUCCUACGGGAGGCAGCAGUGGGGAAUCUUGGACAAUGGGCGCAAGCCUGAUCCAGCCAUGCCGCGUGAGUGAAGAAGGCCCUUGG